UACGUAGGGUGCAAGCGUUGUCCGGAUUUAUUGGGCGUAAAGAGCGUGUAGGCGGCUUGGUAGGUCUUGCGUCAAAACCUGAGGCUCAACCUCAGUUCGCGUGGGAAACCACCUAGCUAGAGUCCGGAAGAGGAGAACGGAAUUCCCAGUGUAGCGGUGAAAUGCGCAGAUAUUGGGAAGAACACCAGUGGCGAAGGCGGUUCUCUGGGACGGUACUGACGCUGAGACGCGAAAGCGUGGGGAGCGAACAGG
RNAcentral lists this ribosomal RNA (252 nucleotides) under uncultured bacterium. RNAcentral's name for it is "partial 16S ribosomal RNA". It matches the Rfam family "Bacterial small subunit ribosomal RNA", at positions 524 to 776 of the family's 1533-position model. The record is from RNAcentral.